Molecule: ribosomal RNA, 501 nt
Filed under: Triticum aestivum (bread wheat)
Lineage: Eukaryota; Viridiplantae; Streptophyta; Magnoliopsida; Poales; Poaceae
Description: partial small subunit ribosomal RNA
Source: RNAcentral
AGUCUUAAGAUUUCACUAAAAGUGAAAAUCUUUGUGUAGUAUCUUCGUAGGGGAGUUGGGUUAACCAAAGAUAACCUCGCACGACGCAACUGGCGAGGGAGUAAGAAGUGUUCUUUUUAUACUCAUGACGAGACAAUCAAACACCUUUUUUUCCACUGCAAGUUUGCACGUUCUACGUGGUCAGUCAUCCUAAUAGCGUCAAAUUUAUAUCCGCCCACAAGUGUUACCAAUAUUUUUGGUCAAUGGUUGGACGGUAUUACAAAUAGGUUCAAAACGCUAAUAAGGAUGGAAGCGUAUGCCUUAAUUUGGUCGCUUUGGCUAUGUAGAAACGAUUUGGGUUUUAAUGACAAAAAUGCUUCUCCUCUACAGGUUAUUUUUUGGUGUACGCACUCGCCACGUACGUGGUCUAUGCUACAACUACCGGAAUACCAACCGCUGUUAAUGGCAGUGUGUACGCGAUUGGAGCAGGUGGCUAUAGAGGUUUUCCCCCAACAUGGGUGA